ACCCGGCAUGGUAGUGCAUGCCUGUAAUCCCAGCUACUAGGAGGCUGAGGCAGGAGGCCAGCCUCAG
Molecule: small RNA, 67 nt
Filed under: Marmota monax (woodchuck)
Lineage: Eukaryota; Metazoa; Chordata; Mammalia; Rodentia; Sciuridae
Source: RNAcentral